UACGGAGGGAGCUAGCGUUGUUCGGAAUUACUGGGCGUAAAGCGCACGUAGGCUGCUUUUUAAGUCAGGGGUGAAAUCCCGGGGCUCAACCCCGGAACUGCCUUUGAAACUGGAGAGCUAGAAUCUUGGAGAGGCGAGUGGAAUUCCGAGUGUAGAGGUGAAAUUCGUAGAUAUUCGGAAGAACACCAGUGGCGAAGGCGACUCGCUGGACAAGUAUUGACGCUGAGGUGCGAAAGCGUGGGGAGCAAACAGG
This 253-nucleotide ribosomal RNA is filed under the name uncultured bacterium. RNAcentral describes it as "partial 16S ribosomal RNA". It matches the Rfam family "Bacterial small subunit ribosomal RNA", at positions 524 to 776 of the family's 1533-position model. The record is from RNAcentral.